Molecule: ribosomal RNA, 253 nt
Filed under: uncultured bacterium
Lineage: Bacteria
Description: partial 16S ribosomal RNA
Rfam family: Bacterial small subunit ribosomal RNA
Source: RNAcentral
UACGUAGGGUGCAAGCGUUGUCCGGAAUUAUUGGGCGUAAAGAGCUCGUAGGCGGUCUGUCACGUCGGCUGUGAAAACCCGGGGCUCAACCCCGGGCCUGCAGUCGAUACGGGCAGACUAGAGUGCGGUAGGGGAGACUGGAAUUCCUGGUGUAGCGGUGAAAUGCGCAGAUAUCAGGAGGAACACCGGUGGCGAAGGCGGUUCUCUGGGCAUUACCUGACGCUGAGGAGCGAAAGUGUGGGGAGCGAACAGG